Molecule: non-coding RNA, 314 nt
Organism: Labrus bergylta (ballan wrasse)
Lineage: Eukaryota; Metazoa; Chordata; Actinopteri; Labriformes; Labridae
Source: RefSeq, a predicted model, not a curated record
GAUCUUGUCAUCAUCGCUGUUGUUCUCCUUCUUGUAACCAUCGUCUGUGUGGCUGGAUUCUGCCUGUACAAGAAGAGAAAUGCCAAACGCCCUCCAUCCCCGGUAAACGACCCGGCUGUGCAACAAAUGAUGCUUCCAAAUCAAAAUACCUGAAAGACAAAGAGAGGACCCUGAACCCAGUUUACGGGUACGUUCUGCACUGAAACAAGGAGCAGACGACACGCUCUCCUCAGAAUUCAUUGGCUCUCAUCGUAUCAGACAUGAAGUGAUCAGAGUUGGGAAUUUAAAUUUAAAUCUUUGAAAUACAAAGAAAA